AACGCUAGCUACAGGCUUAACACAUGCAAGUCGCGGGGUAACGAGAGGGAAGCUUGCUUUCCUUGUCGACGACCGGCGCACGGGUGAGUAACGCGUAUCCAACCUGCCCACCACUUGGGGAUAACCUUGCGAAAGUAAGACUAAUACCCAAUGAUAUCUCUAGAAGGCAUCUGAAAGAGAUUAAAGAUUUAUCGGUGAUGGAUGGGGAUGCGUCUGAUUAGCUUGUUGGCGGGGUAACGGCCCACCAAGGCGACGAUCAGUAGGGGUUCUGAGAGGAAGGUCCCCCACAUUGGAACUGAGACACGGUCCAAACUCCUACGGGAGGCAGCAGUGAGGAAUAUUGGUCAAUGGACGAGAGUCUGAACCAGCCAAGUAGCGUGCAGGAUGACGGCCCUAUGGGUUGUAAACUGCUUUUAUAAGGGAAUAAAGUGAGUCUCGUGAGACUUUUUGCAUGUACCUUAUGAAUAAGGACCGGCUAAUUCCGUGCCAGCAGCCGCGGUAAUACGGAAGGUCCGGGCGUUAUCCGGAUUUAUUGGGUUUAAAGGGAGCGUAGGCCGGAGAUUAAGCGUGUUGUGAAAUGUAGACGCUCAACGUCUGCACUGCAGCGCGAACUGGUUUCCUUGAGUACGCACAAAGUGGGCGGAAUUCGUGGUGUAGCGGUGAAAUGCUUAGAUAUCACGAAGAACUCCGAUUG
Molecule: ribosomal RNA, 694 nt
Filed under: uncultured bacterium
Lineage: Bacteria
Description: bacterial SSU rRNA
Rfam family: Bacterial small subunit ribosomal RNA
Source: RNAcentral